Molecule: ribosomal RNA, 587 nt
Filed under: uncultured bacterium
Lineage: Bacteria
Description: bacterial SSU rRNA
Rfam family: Bacterial small subunit ribosomal RNA
Source: RNAcentral
CCUACGGGAGGCAGCAGUAAGGAAUAUUGGUCAAUGGGCGCAAGCCUGAACCAGCCACGCCGCGUGAGUGAUGAAGGCCUUCGGGUUGUAAAGCUCUGUGGGGAGGGAAGAAAACGGCCAGUAAGAAACGACUGGUCCUUGACGGUACCUCCUUAGCAAGCACCGGCUAACUCUGUGCCAGCAGCCGCGGUAAUACAGAGGGUGCGAACGUUGCUCGGAAUUACUGGGCGUAAAGCGCGUGUAGGCGGGUUCGCAAGUCAGACGUGAAAUCCCCGGGCUCAACCCGGGAACUGCGUCUGAAACUGCGAGCCUUGAGUACCGGAGAGGGUGGCGGAAUUCCUGGUGUAGAGGUGAAAUUCGUAGAUAUCAGGAGGAACACCGGUGGCGAAGGCGGCCACCUGGACGGUAACUGACGCUGAGACGCGAAAGCGCGGGGAGCACACAGGAUUAGAUACCCUGGUAGUCCACGCCGUAAACGAUGGGUGCUAGGUGUCUCGGGUAUUGACCCCUGAGGUGCCGUAGCUAACGCGUUAAGCACCCCGCCUGGGAAGUACGGUCGCAAGACUAAAACUCAAAGGAAUUGACGG